UGAACAGCAGUAGUGUGAUGCAGCGACUGCAAGGGAGGACUGUGAGCACAGCGACACGUGACGUUUUGAUAUCAGAAGCAUCUAAAAUUGACAAAGCUUUGGUAACAGAAAAGUUGCAAGCAUAAUUCCUCAUUAAUAACUCCAUUUGUGUUAUUGUUCUGCCUAAAACUUGUUCCUGCUUUCCAAAGAAGGCAAAACAGGAAAAAUAUUAAAUUGAUGUGAAAAAUUUAAGUCUAAUACGUAUUUCAAACUGUCUGAUCUGUGCAUGGGAGGAAGAAAAGAUUAAAGCUGCAAUACAACAGCCUGCCUUUAGAAAGUGAGCUGGGAGGAGGAAGUCAGUACCAAGGAAUGUUCUCACCAAAGACACUGGACCAUUUCCAGGCUACGGCUCACGAGUUCUAUGUCCUCCAGUCAGUGUGGAUGACUUGUUUUGUUUUCAUGUGAAGAUUCUGGCCAUCUCAGAUGUGUAGGAUGGAUGUUCUGUUAGGUGACCAACUCCCUGCCAUGAGGGAAGAGACACCCCCCCUGCAAAUGGAGAUGGACCACCAAAAUGGAAAAAUCAAAGCAAAGCCAGCAUCUUUGCAUUGUAUUCAGGUGUUCAGCAAUGUGAACGAUCGUGGAGAGUUUAACAUUUGAGGAGUGGAAGAUGGUCUCAUUUCAGAAGCUCGGCGCUGUGCAGCAGUGCCCUUCCCUGGCUCAGCGCCCGGUGCCAACAGAACACCUUGCAGGAUCCUCAGCAGCGCAGACAACACAACCUGGAUGCUCAAGAGCAGAGGAUCUAUCAACUGCAGACCAAGCAGAGGCAGAGGCAGGCAGAACCGGAGCAGUAAUGCAGCCAGAUCCAGCAGCUCAGCCAGGAGCUGGAGGCCACCACCAGCUACAGGAGGAAGCUUGGAUGCAGAGCUGCCAGGAGUCACACUGCUCAGACUGCACAUUCCUUCUGCAUGCAGAUCUGGCUUGGGAGAGCACGCUACUCACAUGUCGGCUCAGCCGCGUGUUUGUCUGCCUGAUGUCCAUUCAGGCACCUUUAGUCGUUAAUGGAUUUUGACUGCAGGCUGUGAUCAGAUCCAGAUGGCAAACAGAUUCUGGGACGUGGAGAGAGUGGAUCCUGAAAAUCUGUGCAGGAUUACUUGCUUAAUCUGCAUCGUUCCUCCACAACACCUGCUUCUAAUCUCUUUCAGCACUCCUUAAACCAGAAGAAUUAUGUCUAUUUUAAAAACUUGAUAGUGCAGCAUUCUCAGUGUACUGGAAGACUAAAUCAGCCACGUGCUACUGGUGCUGGAGUAUCAGGUCUCACCGUGCUGGACAGCAGAAUGAGCUCCGCACAGCUGGCUUGUCCAGAAGGAGAGCAGCAUUUUAGAAUCUGAGCGGUAUUUUUCUCCUUAUUACUCAAAGUAGAAAUGGUUUGUUUCACUUAAUUUAGUGAUAGUGAGGUACGUUCACUUCAUGUGAAGGAACAUAGCUAGAUAUUGUUCCUUUUACUGCCAUGUCAUCCUUUGUUCUCACUAUGUGUAUGUGUGUAUGAAGAGACAGCACAGCAUGUGGGCAGAACUGCAUGUUGCAAGCCUGUUUUCAGAUUGUCUGCUGGAGAAGGCUGCUGCUGGCAGUUUGCAUGCUUUUGUCUACUUGUGUGCAUGAAUGGUGAAGGAUGAAUGAAUCUGUGAGUGUAUCAUUGUGUGCCUGCAUUUUUUCUCCAUAUGUAUACGGGUAUCCAUACACUGAUUUGUGCAGCCAGAGCACAGCAGGGAGGAAUCAUGCUUCUGUUUCUUCUUACAGUUACUCUGUCUUACUCCCUUCCCAUCCUAUCCCUUCCAUGUGUUGAUGCUGAGUUCAGGUGAGUCUGACUGCUUGCUUUUGGUGUGAAAGUGACAGAUACAACAACACAGUUCUAAUCUUUCUCCUACAAAAUUCCCAAUCAAAGCACAUCCAGCUCUGUUACAUAAAAAUCUAACAUUCUUCUGGGUCAGAACAGAGCUCUACAGUGCUCUGUGUCUGAUGGCAGCUUAUGCCCAUGCCUUGGAAAGAGGAAAAAAAGGAGAAGCUGUACU
Molecule: long non-coding RNA, 2048 nt
Filed under: Phasianus colchicus (ring-necked pheasant)
Lineage: Eukaryota; Metazoa; Chordata; Aves; Galliformes; Phasianidae
Description: lncRNA (ENSPCLG00000021830.1)
Source: RNAcentral